Molecule: ribosomal RNA, 1219 nt
Filed under: Nocardia sp. WDL-1
Lineage: Bacteria; Bacillati; Actinomycetota; Actinomycetes; Mycobacteriales; Nocardiaceae
Description: bacterial SSU rRNA
Rfam family: Bacterial small subunit ribosomal RNA
Source: RNAcentral
AUAAGCCUGGGAAACUGGGUCUAAUACCGGAUAUGACCAUGGAAUGCAUGUUUUGUGGUGGAAAGAUUUAUCGGUGCGAGAUGGGCCCGCGGCCUAUCAGCUUGUUGGUGAGGUAACGGCUCACCAAGGCGACGACGGGUAGCCGACCUGAGAGGGUGACCGGCCACACUGGGACUGAGACACGGCCCAGACUCCUACGGGAGGCAGCAGUGGGGAAUAUUGCACAAUGGGCGAAAGCCUGAUGCAGCGACGCCGCGUGGAGGAUGACGGCCUUCGGGUUGUAAACUCCUUUCGACAGGGACGAAGCGCAAGUGACGGUACCUGUAGAAGAAGCACCGGCCAACUACGUGCCAGCAGCCGCGGUAAUACGUAGGGUGCGAGCGUUGUCCGGAAUUACUGGGCGUAAAGAGCUUGUAGGCGGUUUGUCGCGUCUUCUGUGAAAACUUGGGGCUCAACCUUAAGCUUGCAGGCGAUACGGGCAGACUAGAGUACUUCAGGGGAGACUGGAAUUCCUGGUGUAGCGGUGAAAUGCGCAGAUAUCAGGAGGAACACCGGUGGCGAAGGCGGGUCUCUGGGAAGUAACUGACGCUGAGAAGCGAAAGCAUGGGUAGCAAACAGGAUUAGAUACCCUGGUAGUCCAUGCCGUAAACGGUGGGUACUAGGUGUGGGUUUCCUUCCACGGGAUCCGUGCCGUAGCUAACGCAUUAAGUACCCCGCCUGGGGAGUACGGCCGCAAGGCUAAAACUCAAAGAAAUUGACGGGGGCCCGCACAAGCGGCGGAGCAUGUGGAUUAAUUCGAUGCAACGCGAAGAACCUUACCUGGGUUUGACAUACACCGGAAACCUGCAGAGAUGUAGGCCCCCUUGUGGUCGGUGUACAGGUGGUGCAUGGCUGUCGUCAGCUCGUGUCGUGAGAUGUUGGGUUAAGUCCCGCAACGAGCGCAACCCUUAUCUUAUGUUGCCAGCGCGUAAUGGCGGGGACUCGUGAGAGACUGCCGGGGUCAACUCGGAGGAAGGUGGGGACGACGUCAAGUCAUCAUGCCCCUUAUGUCCAGGGCUUCACACAUGCUACAAUGGCCAGUACAGAGGGCUGCGAUACCGUGAGGUGGAGCGAAUCCCUUAAAGCUGGUCUCAGUUCGGAUCGGGGUCUGCAACUCGACCCCGUGAAGUUGGAGUCGCUAGUAAUCGCAGAUCAGCAACGCUGCGGUGAAUACGUUCCC